UACACACACACUGAGAAAAUCCAAUACUAAGAAUUAAAAAUCCGAAGUUUUAGGUGUAUAACAAAAACGGCGCCGUCCAAGCUUUGAGGGUCCGCGCACUAACCCGCUGGGCUACCCAGAUCCACGCCCUGUCCUCUGAAAUGGUCAAUUUGCGCGUGAGGUACUUCAAUCGCGUCCUGUUUGCUACUUUGUUUUUUUUUUUUUAAUUUGACCUUCCAAUUUGUGCGUUUUUUCACUUUGAUCCACGGUUUAGUGCAGCAUUAGGGGUUCGGGAUAUUUGUAAUUUCAGUCCCCACAUGUUUGUGCGCUUAGCACAUUGAUCCUAUUUUGCCAUUAUUUUAUUUGUAAAUCGGUUCUCCUGUUUUAACCUUGCUUCAAUUAAGUCUUAUCCACAUUUUUAUUUACUGCACAUAAAUUUUUUUCCUACAUGCUAGAUUAUUAAUUGUGAUAUUUUGUUGCUUUGAUAAUUAAAUUUCGUUUUGAAAAGCA
Molecule: long non-coding RNA, 489 nt
Organism: Gossypium arboreum
Lineage: Eukaryota; Viridiplantae; Streptophyta; Magnoliopsida; Malvales; Malvaceae
Exons: 2
Source: RefSeq, a predicted model, not a curated record